RNAcentral lists this ribosomal RNA (553 nucleotides) under uncultured Nitrososphaerota archaeon. RNAcentral's name for it is "bacterial SSU rRNA". It matches the Rfam family "Archaeal small subunit ribosomal RNA", at positions 325 to 879 of the family's 1478-position model. Lineage: Archaea; Thermoproteati; Nitrososphaerota. The record is from RNAcentral.
ACGGGGUGCAGCAGGCGCGAAACCUUUGCAAUGUGCGAAAGCACGACAAGGCUAAUCCGAGUGUCUCCUGCUAAAGGAGUCUUUUGUCAGUUGUAGAAUCACUGAUGAAUAAGGGGUGGGCAAGUUCUGGUGUCAGCCGCCGCGGUAAAACCAGCACCUCGAGUGGUCAGGAGGUUUAUUGGGCCUAAAGCAUCCGUAGCCGGUUGCAUAAGUUUUCGGUUAAAUCUAUGCGCUUAACGUAUAGGCCGCCGAAAAUACUGUGCAGCUAGGGAGUGGGAGAGGUACACGGUACUCGGUAGGAAGGGGUAAAAUCCUUUGAUCUAUUGAUGACCACCUGUGGCGAAGGCGGUGUACCAGAACACGUUCGAUGGUGAGGGAUGAAAGCUGGGGGAGCAAACCGGAUUAGAUACCCGGGUAGUCCCAGCUGUAAACGAUGCAGACUCGGUGAUGCAUUGGCUUGUGGCCAACGCAGUGCCGCAGGGAAGCCGUUAAGUCUGCCGCCUGGGAAGUACGUACGCAAGUAUGAAACUUAAAGGAAUUGGCGGGGGAGCAC